GACGAACGCUGGCGGCGUGCUUAACACAUGCAAGUCGAGCGGUAAGGCCCUUCGGGUACACGAGCGGCGAACGGGUGAGUAACACGUGGGUGACCUGCCUCUAGCUCUGGGAUAAGCCUGGGAAACUGGGUCUAAUACCGGAUAUGACUCCACGGCGCAUGUUGUGGGGUGGAAAGCCUUGUGUGGCUAGAGAUGGGCCCGCGGCCUAUCAGCUUGUUGGUGGGGUGAUGGCCUACCAAGGCGACGACGGGUGCCGGCCUGAGAGGCGACCGGCCACACUGGGACUGAGACACGGGCCCAGACUCCUACGGGAGGCAGCA
RNAcentral lists this ribosomal RNA (320 nucleotides) under uncultured bacterium. RNAcentral's name for it is "bacterial SSU rRNA". It matches the Rfam family "Bacterial small subunit ribosomal RNA", at positions 28 to 353 of the family's 1533-position model. The record is from RNAcentral.